CCUACGGGAGGCAGCAGUGAGGAAUAUUGGACAAUGGAUGGAAAUCUGAUCCAGCCAUGCCGCGUGCAGGAAGACUGCCCUAUGGGUUGUAAACUGCUUUUGUAUGGGAGCAAUAAGCCCUUCGUGAAGGGUGAUGAGAGUACCAUACGAAUAAGCAUCGGCUAACUCCGUGCCAGCAGCCGCGGUAAUACGGAGGAUGCAAGCGUUAUCCGGAUUUAUUGGGUUUAAAGGGUGCGUAGGCGGUUGGAUAAGUCAGCGGUGAAAGUUUUCUGCUUAACAGGAAAAAUGCCGUUGAUACUGUCUGGCUAGAAUAUGGUUGCUGUGAGUGGAAUGUGUGGUGUAGCGGUGAAAUGCUUAGAUAUCACACAGAAUAUCGAUUGCGAAGGCAGCUCACAAAGCCAUUAUUGACGCUGAGGCACGAAAGUGUGGGGAUCAAACAGGAUUAGAUACCCUGGUAGUCCACACUGUAAACGAUGAUAACUCGCUGUCGGCGAUACACGGUCGGUGGCCAAGCGAAAGCGAUAAGUUAUCCACCUGGGGAGUACGACCGCAAGGUUGAAACUCAAAGGAAUUGACGG
This 578-nucleotide ribosomal RNA is filed under the name uncultured Bacteroidota bacterium. Its description in RNAcentral is "bacterial SSU rRNA". It matches the Rfam family "Bacterial small subunit ribosomal RNA", at positions 338 to 916 of the family's 1533-position model. The record is from RNAcentral. Lineage: Bacteria; Pseudomonadati; Bacteroidota.